AGUGAACGCUGGCGGCAGGCCUAACACAUGCAAGUCGAACGGCAGCACAGUAAGAGCUUGCUCUUACGGGUGGCGAGUGGCGGACGGGUGCGGAAUACAUCCGAAUCUACUUUUUCGCGGGGCAUAACGUAGGGAAACUUACGCUAAUACCGCAUACGACCUACGGGUGAAAGCAGGGGAUCUUCGGACCUUGCGCGAUUGAAUGAGCCGAUGUCGGAUUAGCUAGUUGGCGGGGUAAAGGCCCACCAAGGCGACGAUCCGUAGCUGGUCUGAGAGGAUGAUCAGCCACACUGGAACUGAGACACGGUCCAGACUCCUACGGGAGGCAGCAGUGGGGAAUAUUGGACAAUGGGCGCAAGCCUGAUCCAGCCAUACCGCGUGGGUGAAGAAGGCCUUCGGGUUGUAAAGCCCUUUUGUUGGGAAAGAAAAGCAGCAGGUUAAUACCCCGCUGUUCUGACGGUACCCAAAGAAUAAGCACCGGCUAACUUCGUG
Molecule: ribosomal RNA, 492 nt
Filed under: uncultured bacterium
Lineage: Bacteria
Description: partial 16S ribosomal RNA
Rfam family: Bacterial small subunit ribosomal RNA
Source: RNAcentral